This 2601-nucleotide long non-coding RNA is filed under the name Homo sapiens (human). Its description in RNAcentral is "non-protein coding lnc-NKAIN3-9:1". The record is from RNAcentral. Lineage: Eukaryota; Metazoa; Chordata; Mammalia; Primates; Hominidae.
AAACGCCUGGGGCGGGUACCGGGUGGUCUCCGCGUCCUUCCCUUUCAACUGUUACGUCGAUGUGGACUUCAGUCACCCGUACAAAGCUGGGCUGGCCAACCCAGGUCCUCGAGAGGGGAGGUUGGGUGUCCCCGGCCGAGUUUGGUAACCAGGCAGCGGGGAGGCUGGCAGGGGAUUCUAGAAGGCGCCUGAGAACUGCGCGCCAACCGCACCGCCCCCUUGAAGGUCGGGGCCCUAUCUCCGGGAAUGGUGACAACGUUCGCUGUACGGACAGCCUGUGCCCCUGAAUGUGAAUGUCCACACUUGCUAUUUGGGGGGUCGCGGCAUCUGUAGGAAGUGAAGACGGGACGGCGAUAGGAACACACGCACAGGCGCAUCACUAGGGUCAGAACUGGGCCAACUCCGGGCGUCUACUUUGAAGCGGGCACGCCCAGGCCACGCCUGCAAACGGCGUCAGCUUCCUCUGAUCAACCGCGGUCAGCGCCAUCCACCGACCACCACUAAGCCUAUCCACCGGGGCAGAAAAGAUGACUGGUUCCUAUUCGUUAAAACUGUUGAUUGUUCCUAAAUACAUGGAUAUAUAGCUUGUACUCAGUGAAAGUUUCCAUCUAUAAGGGCCAACUGAAAUUCAGCAUAAAACAAGAAUAUUUGAAAACCUGCUACAUCAAUGCUCAGUAUUAAGGGUGAAAACGUAAAUUGGACAGUCUUUUUCACAAGAGGUUUAAAUUCAGUAAGGAAAAAAGGCAGAAAGCGUGACUCGUAGAGACAACAGGAACAAUUUUAGCAUGUUGCAAGAAGAGUAAAUGCAGUGAAUAGUCUGGUUUAACAAGAAAAUAACGCUUCUGUAGAAGGGUGUGGUGAGAGGUAAGCAACAAAGGAUGUGAUGAAAGACAUGAAAGGGCCGAGCUGGUUUUGAGCAUGAUUAAAUAGACAAGUAGCCUUGUAAAUAUGAACUUGUGGUGCCAGAAUAAUUGACUAUCCACAUAGGAAAAAUUUUUUACCCGGCGUUACACACAAAAAUAAACUCGAGGUGAAGUGCAUAUGUAAAUACGAAAGCAAAAUAUUAUACUUUGAUAAGAAAAUAUAUAAAUAUAUCUUCCUAACUUAGGCUGUUGGAAGAGUUUCAUAAAACAUUAAAAAUAAAAAUGUUAAUUAAAAAUUGACUAUAUAAGAAAAUUAAAGUUAAAGCACAAACUUGGAAAAUAUAGUUAUAAAAUAUAAAGUAUUUCUAAAAUAUGCGAAGAAAUAAUAAGAAAAAUGACACAAUAGAAAAAUGGAAAAAGAAUGUGAAAAGCAAACCAAACUUUCUGUAGUCAUCAGAAAAAUGCAAGAUAAUAUGUCACAUCCAUUAGACUGUGUAGAAAAACAGCCUGUUUCCUGGCAAGAGUGACACCAUCUUGAAGCAAAACUAUCCUGGGGACUGAUGUUUGACCCACAGCAUACCGAGGUGUUCUGCAGCAAAGGUCUUUAAACAAUGCUCAUAACAUAUAUAACCCCUCAUAAAGAUGCUUAUCUAACGUCCCCAGUGAUCACAAUAGUCUAAGAGCUAACUAGUUGCACUUGUCUUUACCCUAGAGGCUUGCUAAAUAAAGCAUACUUUCUGGAGGGCAAGUGCAGGGGUCGCUUCUGUUUGUCUCUACUAAGUAUUUCUUUCUGAGAAAUUCGAUUGGUCAGCCUCUUUGGUCUCCCAGCUUCCUCCAUCUUUGGAAGCAGGUUUCUGUAAAUUGACAAAAAUGUAAGCCUUUGAUAAUAAGUCAAGGAUGUAGUAAAAUGACAGUUCUCUGCAUUUCUUGUGGAAUUGUAAUUAUUAUAACUAUUUUUGAGAAAAAUUAAGCAAUAUCUGGUAAAGGUGAAGAUCUAAAUGUUCUGUAACCCAGUACAUUCUGGAUAUAAGUGUGUACCUAGAUUAAUGCGUGCUCAUGUGAACAAAAAAAAUAUGUGUAAGUAUGCUCUUUGGAGCAUCUUUUUGUAAUAGUAAAAUAUUAAAUGUAAAUGACCAAUGUCAUAAAGUUUUUCCCAUGUGUUUUCUUCUAGUAAUUUUACAGUUUCAGGUCUCAUAUUUAACUGCUUAAUUCACUUUAGUUGAUUUUUGUUCAUGGUGAGAGAUAAGGGUCUAAUUUCCAGAUUUUCCAACACUGUUUAUUGAAGAAGAUGCCCUUUCCCCAUUGUGUGUUCUUGGCACCUUUGUCAAAAAUCAAUUGACAGUAUAUGUAUUGGUUUAUUUUUGGGCCUUCUAUCCUAGUGCAUUGGUCAAUGCCCGUAAUUUUAUGCCAGUACCAUGCUAGUUUGAUUAAAUUACUAUAAUUAUAAUAUGUCUUGAAAUCAGAGUAUGAUGGCUUCAACUUUGAUUUUUUUUCUCAAGAUUGUUUUAGGUAUGUGGGGUCUUUUGUGGUUUCAUACAAAUUUAAGGAUUUUUUUACAUUUAUGUGAAAAAAGUGACACUGGAAUUUUGUAGAGAUUACAAUGAAUCUGUAUAUUGCCGUAGGUCAGUCAUAUAGACAUGUUCCCAAUUUUAAUUCUUCCAAUCCAUGAACAUGAGAUAUCUUUCCAUUUGCUUGUAUUUUCUUAUUUACUUGUAUUUUUAUGUGUUUUAUAGUUUUC